Centropristis striata (black sea bass) is the source of this 732-nucleotide long non-coding RNA. RefSeq lists it as uncharacterized. NCBI's taxonomy places the organism in Eukaryota, Metazoa, Chordata, Actinopteri, Perciformes, Serranidae. The record is from RefSeq and is a predicted model, not a curated record. The transcript is spliced from 3 exons.
CAGGUCUGCAGGUCCUCCAGGGGGUCUGCAGGUCCUGCAGGUCUGCAGGUCCUCCAGGGGGUCUGCAGGUCCUGCAGGUCUGCAGGUCCUCCAGGGGGUCAGUGUUGUCUCUCAGGACGAGUCUUGGGUCGAGUCUUUGUGUUUUCGUCUGGCUGCUGUUUAAAGUUGGACCAAAUGUGCAUGCUCCUUUCUCCUCUCUGCUCCUCUGAAUGUAUAUUUAAAAUGUAUAUUUAUGUCCAGGGGACGUGUGUCCGUGUGUCCUGACGCUGUGGGGACGUGUCUUCUGUCUUGUGUCCCCGUUAGAACGAAGGACAAAGAGACUUUGGGUGCUAACGGUGCAGCUCGUCGUCUUCAGAGGGAUUUUUCCACAAACUGUUUGUUACGUCAGAUCUUUGACCGCUUUAGGAGAACGCUGAGCUCAGUAUUCACCCUGUGACGGACGCUGUUAUUAUUAUUAGAAUAUUAUGAUAAUAAAUAUUAUUAUUAUUAUUAUUAUUAUUAUUAAAUAUGAUAACAGACAGCCAGAUGGGUCAACGUUUGAAUGUUUACUCCAAUUUUAGAGAAAAAGCUGCAUGUCAAACUGUAUUUUGAUGCUGUGCCUUUCGAUAUACAUUUCUAAGUGAUAUUUCUAUUUUGCUUUGCAAAUGUAAACUGUUGUGUAUAAAAUACAGUUAUGGGCAUAAAUGACUGUUUGUUUUGUUGUUUUUAUAAACCACUCUGAUUUUUGAAACG